CCCAGGCUUAUAUAUUGAAUUAUAGAACACUACGGCCUUUGUCUUUGGUUAUUUUUCUUUCCAUCAGCUUCUUUUGGUGUCUUUAUCAUUUCUAUGACUGAGUCCUUUGCUUCCUCCUGAUAGCACGAUGUCCAGUUUUCAAGAAGAAAGAUGCAUCUAUUAUAAAUAUUGUUUACAAAAAGAGCUUUAAAUUGGAAGAUUCUUCAAUUUUUCUUUUUCCAUAUUGUGC
RNAcentral lists this long non-coding RNA (229 nucleotides) under Elaeis guineensis (African oil palm). Its description in RNAcentral is "long non-coding RNA (EGUI_LNC008645)". The record is from RNAcentral. Lineage: Eukaryota; Viridiplantae; Streptophyta; Magnoliopsida; Arecales; Arecaceae.